Molecule: long non-coding RNA, 253 nt
Filed under: Mytilus galloprovincialis (Mediterranean mussel)
Lineage: Eukaryota; Metazoa; Mollusca; Bivalvia; Mytilida; Mytilidae
Source: RNAcentral
GGACCGUGAAAUUGGGGUAAAAUCUCUAAUUUGGCAUUAAAAUUAGAAAGAUCAUAUCAUAGGGAACAUGUGUACCAAGUUUGAAGUCAAUUGGACUUCAACUUCAUCAAAAACUACCUUGACCAAAAACUUUAACUUGAAGCGGGACAGACGGACGAACGAACGGACGAACGGACAGACGAACGGACGGACGAACGGACGCACAGACCAGAAAACAUAAUGCCCCUCUACUAUCGUAGGUGGGGCAUAAAAA